This 460-nucleotide ribosomal RNA is filed under the name uncultured bacterium. Its description in RNAcentral is "partial 16S ribosomal RNA". It matches the Rfam family "Bacterial small subunit ribosomal RNA", at positions 338 to 795 of the family's 1533-position model. The record is from RNAcentral.
CCUACGGGGGGCAGCAGUGAGGAAUAUUGGUCAAUGGGCGCGAGCCUGAACCAGCCAAGUCGCGUGAGGGAUGACGGCCCUACGGGUUGUAAACCUCUUUUGCCGGGGAGCAACGGGCGCCACGUGUGGCGGCACUGAGAGUACCCGAAGAAAAAGCAUCGGCUAACUCCGUUCCAGCAGCCGCGGUAAUACGGAGGAUGCGAGCGUUAUCCGGAUUUAUUGGGUUUAAAGGGUGCGUAGGCGGAUCGUUAAGUCAGUGGUCAAAUGGAGGGGCUCAACCCCUUCCCGCCAUUGAAACUGGCGUUCUUGAGUGGAAGAGAAGUAUGCGGAAUGCGUGGUGUAGCGGUGAAAUGCAUAGAUAUCACGCAGAACCCCGAUUGCGAAGGCAGCAUGCCGGCUUCCGACUGACGCUGAAGCACGAAAGCGUGGGUAUCGAACAGGAUUAGAUACCCUGGUAGUC